UACGUAGGGCGCAAGCGUUGUCCGGAAUCAUUGGGCGUAAAGAGCUCGUAGGCGGCCUGUUGCGUCCGCUGUGAAAUCCCGGGGCUUAACCCCGGGCGUGCAGUGGAUACGGGCUGGCUGGAGGCAGGCAGGGGAGAACGGAAUUCCCGGUGUAGCGGUGGAAUGCGUAGAGAUCCGGAAGAACACCAGUGGCGAAGGCGGCCCGCUGGGCAGUGGCUGACGCUGAGGCGCGACAGCGUGGGGAGCAAACAGG
RNAcentral lists this ribosomal RNA (253 nucleotides) under uncultured bacterium. Its description in RNAcentral is "partial 16S ribosomal RNA". It matches the Rfam family "Bacterial small subunit ribosomal RNA", at positions 524 to 776 of the family's 1533-position model. The record is from RNAcentral.